This 253-nucleotide ribosomal RNA is filed under the name uncultured bacterium. RNAcentral describes it as "partial 16S ribosomal RNA". It matches the Rfam family "Bacterial small subunit ribosomal RNA", at positions 524 to 776 of the family's 1533-position model. The record is from RNAcentral.
UACGCAGGGGGCAAGCGUUGUCCGGAUUUAUUGGGCGUAAAGGGCUCGUAGGCGGCCAACUAAGUCGGACGUGAAAUCCCUCAGCUUAACUGGGGAACUGCGUCCGAUACUGGAUGGCUUGGAUUUGGGAGAGGGAUGCGGAAUUCCUGGUGUAGCGGUGAAAUGCGCAGAUAUCAGGAGGAACACCGGUGGCGAAGGCGGGUCUCUGGGCCGUAACUGACGCUGAGGAGCGAAAGCAUGGGGAGCGAACAGG